This 453-nucleotide ribosomal RNA is filed under the name uncultured bacterium. RNAcentral's name for it is "bacterial SSU rRNA". It matches the Rfam family "Bacterial small subunit ribosomal RNA", at positions 1 to 507 of the family's 1533-position model. The record is from RNAcentral.
AGUAGUUUGAUCAGUGGCUACAGAACGACGCUGGCGGCAGGCUUAACACAUGCAAGUCGAACGCCCCGCAAGGAGAGUGGCAGACGGGUGAGUAACGCGUGGGAAUCUACCCAGUUCUACGGAACAACUGAGGGAAACUUCAGCUAAUACCGUAUACGCCCUACGGGGGAAAGAUUUAUCGGAAUUGGAUGAGCCCGCGUUGGAUUAGCUAGUUGGUGAGGUAACGGCUCACCAAGGCGACGAUCCAUAGCUGGUCUGAGAGGAUGAUCAGCCACACUGGGACUGAGACACGGCCCAGACUCCUACGGGAGGCAGCAGUGGGGAAUAUUGGACAAUGGGCGCAAGCCUGAUCCAGCCAUGCCGCGUGAGUGAUGAAGGCCUUAGGGUUGUAAAGCUCUUUCAGUGGGGACGAUAAUGACGGUACCCACAGAAGAAGCCCCGGCUAACUUCGUG